Molecule: ribosomal RNA, 406 nt
Filed under: uncultured Actinomycetes bacterium
Lineage: Bacteria; Bacillati; Actinomycetota; Actinomycetes
Description: bacterial SSU rRNA
Rfam family: Bacterial small subunit ribosomal RNA
Source: RNAcentral
AACACAUGCAAGUCGAACGAGGCCCUGCCUUCGGGCAGGUGACCUAGUGGCGAACGGGUGAGUAACACGUGGGCAACCUACCCUCAGCUCUGGGAUAACCCCGGGAAACCGGAGCUAAUACCGGAUAUGACCUGGAAGGACAUCCUUCUUGGUGGAAAGUUUUUCGGCUGAGGAUGGGCCCGCGGCCUAUCAGCUUGUUGGUGGGGUAAUGGCCUACCAAGGCGACGACGGGUAGCCGGCCUGAGAGGGCGAACGGCCACACUGGGACUGAGACACGGCCCAGACUCCUACGGGAGGCAGCAGUGGGGAAUAUUGCGCAAUGGGCGAAAGCCUGACGCAGCGACGCCGCGUGAGGGAUGAAGGCCUUCGGGUUGUAAACCUCUUUCAGCAGGGACGAAGCGAGAGU